RNAcentral lists this unclassified non-coding RNA (394 nucleotides) under soil metagenome. RNAcentral describes it as "partial contains 5.8S ribosomal RNA, internal transcribed spacer 2, and large subunit ribosomal RNA". The stretch from base 1 to 119 matches the Rfam family "5.8S ribosomal RNA", at positions 36 to 154 of the family's 154-position model. The record is from RNAcentral.
AUGAAGAACGCAGCGAAAUGCGAUAAGUAGUGUGAAUUGCAGAAUUCAGUGAAUCAUCGAAUCUUUGAACGCACAUUGCGCCUCCUGGCAUUCCGGGAGGCAUGCCUGUUCGAGCGUCAUCAAACCCCAUCGUGCAAAUGAAUUAUUUUUUUGCGCGGAAGUGACGAUUGAGCGAGAAUAACAAAUCCUCUCGCACCUCGUCGAAAUGAUUGCGGGCGGAAUUUGGGAUCGGGUUCCUCGGCGUAGUGUAUCAAUGCAUAUUUAUGCAACUUGCCGCGGAGUUGAGCCUGACCCACGCGUUCUCGCCGUACAAACACCUCAUUACUUUACAAGUUUUUGACCUCGGAUCAGGUAGGGAUACCCGCUGAACUUAAGCAUAUCAAUAAGCGGAGGA